RNAcentral lists this ribosomal RNA (490 nucleotides) under uncultured bacterium. RNAcentral's name for it is "partial 16S ribosomal RNA". It matches the Rfam family "Bacterial small subunit ribosomal RNA", at positions 30 to 507 of the family's 1533-position model. The record is from RNAcentral.
AUUGAACGCUGGCGGCAGGCCUAACACAUGCAAGUCGAACGGUAACAGGAAGAAGCUUGCUUCUUUGCUGACGAGUGGCGGACGGGUGAGUAAUGUCUGUGAAACUGCCUGAUGGAGGGGGAUAACUACUGGAAACGGUAGCUAAUACCGCAUAACUUCUCAAGACCAAAGUGGGGGACCUUCGGGCCUCUUGCCAUCCGAUGUUCCCAGAUGGGAUUAGCUAGUAGGUGGGGUAACGGCUCACCUAGGCGACGAUCCCUAGCUGGUCUGAGAGGAUGACCAGCCACACUGGAACUGAGACACGGUCCAGACUCCUACGGGAGGCAGCAGUGGGGAAUAUUGCACAAUGGGCGCAAGCCUGAUGCAGCCAUGCCGCGUGUAUGAAGAAGGCCUUCGGGUUGUAAAGUACUUUCAGCGGGGAGGAAGGGAGUAGAGUUAAUACCUGUGCUCAUUGACGGUACCCGCAGAAGAAGCACCGGCUAACUCCGUG